Molecule: long non-coding RNA, 825 nt
Organism: Nomascus leucogenys (northern white-cheeked gibbon)
Lineage: Eukaryota; Metazoa; Chordata; Mammalia; Primates; Hylobatidae
Exons: 2
Source: RefSeq, a predicted model, not a curated record
GAGCCCAGCUGGGGUGGUAAAUAGAGUACAGUACAAAAGCGGAAGGGACAGGCCUAGAGGCUGAAAGAAAAGCCCGAUAAUGGGGAAACAGUGUUUUUUCCUUCAAUUAAUGAUUAAUUUCUCAGCUGGUGGGGCCAGCAGUCUCUGACUGUCACGUGACAGCUAUGCGCCCCAUGACGCCUCUCCAGGGAGGCAGAGUGGGUGGCACUGAGGUGGAGCUCACCUUCCUGAAAUUCAGCCCCCUCAGUUUGGAGGGGAGGUGGAGGAAGGAGGUGAAUGGUUUCCUGUCCAGCCAGAAAUUUGCGGAGGGCCUUCCCAAGGCCAAGCAAUGCUGCCUGCGACUCUGUCCCUGACAGCGUUGGACGCACCGUAUCUCUUCUGAUAUUAAGUCUGGAAGUGAUUUACUAUCCGAGUCCUCCCACAGUUCGAGCCUUUUGAUGUACUUUGUGUGCAUGUGUUUCUGUCACAUACGUGCCACAGUGGAACAGAUUUUGUUUUGACACUAUUUUGGUUCAUGAUGUUAUACUUUGACUAUUUUACAAUAAUAGCCAAUGUAAACAAACAUCUUUGGGAUUCUCAAAUUAUUACUUAUGAUUCUUGGACAUUGCAGCUCUUCGAUACUGACGCAUUCCUAGCUUUUUCCAAGGACACCGUAUGUUAACAUCCGUGCCAGCCUCAUUAUCCCCACAGCCAGGCUCUGGGCUGGGCGGUAAUGAGCAUUGUGCGGUUUCACUUUACACUUUGCAAAGUUGAUUAAGGCAGUGCCUUCUCCCAUGAUCAUUUUUGUACCCUGAUGUAGUAAAAUGGCUAAAUAUGGUGAAAGUU